This 555-nucleotide long non-coding RNA is filed under the name Nicotiana tabacum (common tobacco). RNAcentral describes it as "long non-coding RNA (NTAB_LNC006675)". Lineage: Eukaryota; Viridiplantae; Streptophyta; Magnoliopsida; Solanales; Solanaceae. The record is from RNAcentral.
AGACUCAAAAAUUUAACUGAACUCUUUCCAGCCAGUCAGUAUUAGGGUUUUAAACACUAAACUGAACUUUCCCUUUAGUCAGCAUUAGGGUUUUAAACCCUAAACUGAACUCUUUCCUUCAGUCAGCAUUAGGGUUUUAAACCCUAAACUGAACUUUUCCAUUCAGUCAGCAUUAGGGUUUUAAACCCAAAACUGAACUCUUUCCUUUAGUCAGCAUUAGGGUUUUAGACCCUAAACUGAACUUUUUCCCAUUCAGUCAGUAUUAGGGUUUUAAACCCUAAACUGAACUUUUUCUAUUCAGUCAGCAUUAGGGUUUUAAACCCUAAACUGAACUCUUUCCUUUAGUCAGCAUUAGGGUUUUAAACCCUAAACUGAUCUCUUUCCUUCAGUUAGCAUUAGGGUUUUAAACCCUAAACUUAACUUUUCCAUUCAGUCAGCAUUAGGGUUUUAAACCCUAAACUGAACUCUUUCCUUUAGUCAGCAUUAAGGUUUUAAACUCUAAACUGAACUUUUUCCAUUCUGUUAGCAUUAGGGUUUUAAACCCUAAACUGAACU